GAUACCCGCCCUAGUUCUAACCAUAAACGAUGCCAACCAGCGAUCCGCCUGAGUUACUCAAAUGACUCGGCGGGCAGCUUCCGGGAAACCAAAGUAUUUGGGUUCCGGGGGAAGUAUGGUUGCAAAGCUGAAACUUAAAGGAAUUGACGGAAGGGCACCACCAGGAGUGGAGCCUGCGGCUUAAUUUGACUCAACACGGGAAAACUUACCCGGCCCGGACACUGGGAGGAUUGACAGAUUGAGAGCUCUUUCUUGAUUCGGUGGAUGGUGGUGCAUGGCCGUUCUUAGUUGGUGGAGCGAUUUGUCUGGUUAAUUCCGAUAACGAACGAGACUCUAGCCUAUUAAAUAGGUGCGGGGUUCCCAGCACCUUACAACCUUCUUAGAGGGACAAGCGGCUCCUAGCCGCACGAAACAGAGCAAUAACAGGUCUGUGAUGCCCUUAGAUGUCCGGGGCCGCACGCGCGCUACACUGAAGGAGGCAGCGUGUUUUUUUCCCUGUCUGAAAAGACUGGGUAACCCGUGGAACUUCCUUCGUGAUUGGGAUAGGGGCUUGCAAUUGUUCCCCUUGAACGAGGAAUUCCCAGUAAGCGCGAGUCAUAAGCUCGCGUUGAUUACGUCCCUGCCCUUUGUACACACCGCCCGUCGCUACUACCGAUUGAAUGAUUUAGUGAGGUCUUCGGACCGAUGUCCGGCGCGGCCUUUCGGUUGCGCCGGUCUGUUGGAAAGAUGACCAAACUUGAUCAUUUAGAGGAAGUAAAAGUCGUAACAAGGUUUCCGUAGGU
This 782-nucleotide ribosomal RNA is filed under the name Haemaphysalis longicornis (longhorned tick). RNAcentral describes it as "SSU rRNA". It matches the Rfam family "Eukaryotic small subunit ribosomal RNA", at positions 1011 to 1810 of the family's 1831-position model. Lineage: Eukaryota; Metazoa; Arthropoda; Arachnida; Ixodida; Ixodidae. The record is from RNAcentral.